Molecule: ribosomal RNA, 292 nt
Filed under: uncultured Rhodocyclaceae bacterium
Lineage: Bacteria; Pseudomonadati; Pseudomonadota; Betaproteobacteria; Rhodocyclales; Rhodocyclaceae
Description: partial 16S ribosomal RNA
Rfam family: Bacterial small subunit ribosomal RNA
Source: RNAcentral
AACGAGCGCAACCCUUGUCACUAGUUGCCAGCACGUAAAGGUGGGAACUCUAUGGAGACUGCCGGUGACAAACCGGAGGAAGGUGGGGAUGACGUCAAGUCCUCAUGGCCCUUAUGGGUAGGGCUUCACACGUCGUACAAUGGUCGGUACAGAGGGUUGCCAACCCGCGAGGGGGAGCUAAUCCCACAAAGCCGAUCGUAGUCCGGAUCGCAGUCUGCAACUCGACUGCGUGAAGUCGGAAUCGCUAGUAAUCGUGGAUCAGCAUGUCACGGUGAAUACGUUCCCGGGUCUU